CAGUGGGGAAUAUUGGGCAAUGGAGGAAACUCUGACCCAGCGACGCCGCGUGCGGGAUGAAGGCCUUCGGGUUGUAAACCGCUUUCAGCAGGGAAGAAGCGAAAGUGACGGUACCUGCAGAAGAAGCACCGGCUAACUAUGUGCCAGCAGCCGCGGUAAUACAUAGGGUGCAAGCGUUGUCCGGAAUUAUUGGGCGUAAAGAGCUCGUAGGUGGUUCGUCACGUCGGAUGUGAAACUCUGGGGCUUAACCCCAGACCUGCAUUCGAUACGGGCGAGCUUGAGUAUGGUAGGGGAGUCUGGAAUUCCUGGUGUAGCGGUGGAAUGCGCAGAUAUCAGGAGGAACACCAAUGGCGAAGGCAGGACUCUGGGCCAUUACUGACACUGAGGAGCGAAAGCGUGGGGAGCGAACAGGAUUA
Molecule: ribosomal RNA, 416 nt
Filed under: actinobacterium SCGC AAA280-C18
Lineage: Bacteria; Bacillati; Actinomycetota; Actinomycetes
Description: bacterial SSU rRNA
Rfam family: Bacterial small subunit ribosomal RNA
Source: RNAcentral